Molecule: non-coding RNA, 99 nt
Organism: Acanthosepion pharaonis
Lineage: Eukaryota; Metazoa; Mollusca; Cephalopoda; Sepiida; Sepiidae
Source: the annotation of a GenBank genome assembly
CGUUGAAACACCUGUCCCCGUAUGAUCAGCGAAGUUAAGCAAAGUCAAGCCUGGUCAUUACCUUGAUGGGUGACCGCUUGUGAAUAACAAGAGCUGGAA